GAUCUGUUUAUUCGCAAAUUUCAUGAUACUGUCUGUAUAAUACAUGCGGCUUACGAAAUUACGGCAAGAAAGUUUCGAGAUGCGAGCGUCUUCGCGAUAAAUUGUUAGUCUCUCUACAGUACUUUGUACACGAAUCUUUCGUACUCAACUAUGAAAGAGACGAAAGAGCCUCGCAAACCGGUGGAAAAAUGUCCAAGACGUCGAUGCAUUUCAAAGGGAUGCAACCAUCCACCAACCCAAGGGGCAGUAAGGGAUGAAUAAACGAAGAAGUCGAAUGCACGUGUAACGAGGAGAUCCGUCAUCUUAAAGAAGUCAAGUCCUCUGCGUCAUCACCCUUGUCGUCCACAAGGCAAAGACCAGGAUGCCUCUUCCUCAUCUCUCGGAGCCAUCAUCGACGGCCACGCCGGAUCUAAAAAUUUUCUGAACCCACAACGAACCCACCCAGGACUCACACCAGGUCGACGAAGUAUCCUCCGGGUUAUUGGCAAUUAAUAUUCCGGAAAUUUUACGAAAACUCAGCAGCCGACUUUGCUCGCUUCCCAGUCCCCUAUGGGAUCCACUUGCCGACGUUGCAUCCCGUUCCAGUCCUGUUACAUUCAAAAGGACCUCUUUUCUGUCUCUGGAAGAGGGUGAAGGCGUCAGCCACCUUAUUAUCCAUCCUGUCCAGGACGACGACGUCUGACGUCGCUAAAUUUAUGGCUUUUCUCUUCCGGCGCAAGAACCUGCCAAAAUAUGUUUACCGGGACAGCCGUUCAAUCUCUGGAUACUUUGAUGAUCCCGGAGGAGGCGCGACUCCCGGGGAAACUUGGACAGGCUCUUAACGACACGUGGCUUUCGAAUAUUACUACGGUCUGUUUCAUCCAAAUAUUUUUAAGGCAUUCUGGACCAUUUGUGUUUGGUGUAUCCCCUUCGAGUUAAACAGCCAAUUAGAAAACAUCUUAAAAAAAAAAGUUGUUUCAGAGAUGGAUUUGGCGCCAAACGUUCCCCGUGACAGGCAACUUGCAUCAUGUGCAAUAAAAGGAUUUAAAAUUAUUUUAUAAGAUUUUAUUACAUACAAAUUCUGUGGCAGAUUAAAUAGGUAUAUGCUUUACGUAUUAAUUGUUGAUAUUAAAUAAGGUAUUUAUUUCAGCUCGGGCUUAGAUUAUUUAGCGGUUGUAGUCUCGCAUUGAUACAUUAAUAAAUAAUAAUAAAAUAAAAUUAGUCGAAAUGUAAAUUAUAAUGGAAAUUAUAAUGAACGCGAACGCGUAGCAUGGCGGGCAGAGGUUCUCUGUUACUCACUCCUGAUUCCCAUAGCAACCCUUAGAACGAGAUUGGGAACUAUAGAACUUUUUAAGAAGUAUUGAAAAAGUCUAUAGUUGAAACAUUUUAAAGAAAUUUUUAAGAAAGUGCAGUGUCAACCUGACACCCCUGUAGCACCUAAAAUUUUACUAAAUAUUAUCGGAAAUUCAUUUACUUAAGAUUUUGCCCCCCUAGUCCUGUACGCGACAGCCGCAGGACUCGGGG
Cephus cinctus (wheat stem sawfly) is the source of this 1503-nucleotide long non-coding RNA. RefSeq lists it as uncharacterized. The record is from RefSeq and is a predicted model, not a curated record. Lineage: Eukaryota; Metazoa; Arthropoda; Insecta; Hymenoptera; Cephidae. The transcript has 6 exons.